UACGAAGGGGGCUAGCGUUGUUCGGAAUCACUGGGCGUAAAGGGCGCGUAGGCGGCUUUAUAAGUCGGGGGUGAAAGCCUGUGGCUCAACCACAGAAUUGCCUUCGAUACGGUAGAGCUUGAGACCGGAAGAGGUAAGUGGAACUGCGAGUGUAGAGGUGAAAUUCGUAGAUAUUCGCAAGAACACCAGUGGCGAAGGCGGCUUACUGGUCCGGUUCUGACGCUGAGGCGCGAAAGCGUGGGGAGCAAACAGG
RNAcentral lists this ribosomal RNA (253 nucleotides) under uncultured bacterium. Its description in RNAcentral is "partial 16S ribosomal RNA". It matches the Rfam family "Bacterial small subunit ribosomal RNA", at positions 524 to 776 of the family's 1533-position model. The record is from RNAcentral.